Zea mays is the source of this 140-nucleotide non-coding RNA. Lineage: Eukaryota; Viridiplantae; Streptophyta; Magnoliopsida; Poales; Poaceae. The record is from Rfam.
UCUCCUCAAGAUGAUGGGGUGAUCACCUACCUUUUGGCUAGUCUUAGUCCAUAUUAUGACUUGUUUGCCACCUCAAUGAUCACCAAAAGUGAGGCACCCACUCUCGAUGAUGUUUAUGCUCAUCUACUGUCCUAUGAGGC